UGAAACAUCUUCGGGUUGUGAGGUUAAGCGACUAAGCGUACACGGUGGAUGCCCUGGCAGUCAGAGGCGAUGAAGGACGUGCUAAUCUGCGAAAAGCGUCGGUAAGGUGAUAUGAACCGUUAUAACCGGCGAUGUCCGAAUGGGGAAACCCAGUGUGAUUCGUCACACUAUCGUUAACUGAAUACAUAGGUUAACGAGGCGAACCGGGGGAACUGAAACAUCUAAGUACCCCGAGGAAAAGAAAUCAACCGAGAUUCCCCCAGUAGCGGCGAGCGAACGGGGAGCAGCCCAGAGUCUGAAUCAGCUUGUGUGUUAGUGGAACGGUCUGGAAAGUCCGACGGUACAGGGUGAUAGUCCCGUACACCAAAAUGCACAGGCUGUGAACUCGAAGAGUAGGGCGGGACACGUGGUAUCCUGUCUGAAUAUGGGGGGACCAUCCUCCAAGGCUAAAUACUCCUGACUGACCGAUAGUGAACCAGUACCGUGAGGGAAAGGCGAAAAGAACCCCGGCGAGGGGAGUGAAAAAGAACCUGAAACCGUGUACGUACAAGCAGUGGGAGCACCUUCGGGUGUGACUGCGUACCUUUUGUAUAAUGGGUCAGCGACUUAUAUUCUGUAGCAAGGUUAACCGUAUAGGGGAGCCGCAGGGAAACCGAGUCUUAACUGGGCGUUAAGUUGCAGGGUAUAGACCCGAAACCCGGUGAUCUAGCCAUGGGCAGGUUGAAGGUUGGGUAACACUAACUGGAGGACCGAACCGACUAAUGUUGAAAAAUUAGCGGAUGACUUGUGGCUGGGGGUGAAAGGCCAAUCAAACCGGGAGAUAGCUGGUUCUCCCCGAAAGCUAUUUAGGUAGCGCCUCGUGAACUCAUCUUCGGGGGUAGAGCACUGUUUCGGCUAGGGGGUCAUCCCGACUUACCAACCCGAUGCAAACUACGAAUACCGAAGAAUGUUAUCACGGGAGACACACGGCGGGUGCUAACGUCCGUCGUGAAGAGGGAAACAACCCAGACCGCCAGCUAAGGUCCCAAAGUCAUGGUUAAGUGGGAAACGAUGUGGGAAGGCACAGACAGCCAGGAUGUUGGCUUAGAAGCAGCCAUCAUUUAAAGAAAGCGUAAUAGCUCACUGGUCGAGUCGGCCUGCGCGGAAGAUGUAACGGGGCUAAACCAUGCACCGAAGCUGCGGCAGCGACACUAUGUGUUGUUGGGUAGGGGAGCGUUCUGUAAGCCUGCGAAGGUGACCUGUGAGGGUUGCUGGAGGUAUCAGAAGUGCGAAUGCUGACAUAAGUAACGAUAAAGCGGGUGAAAAGCCCGCUCGCCGGAAGACCAAGGGUUCCUGUCCAACGUUAAUCGGGGCAGGGUGAGUCGACCCCUAAGGCGAGGCCGAAAGGCGUAGUCGAUGGGAAACAGGUUAAUAUUCCUGUACUUGGUGUUACUGCGAAGGGGGGACGGAGAAGGCUAUGUUAGCCGGGCGACGGUUGUCCCGGUUUAAGCAUGUAGGCUGGUUAUCCAGGCAAAUCCGGAUAAUCAAGGCUGAGGUGUGAUGACGAGGCACUACGGUGCUGAAGUAACAAAUGCCCUGCUUCCAGGAAAAGCCUCUAAGCAUCAGGUAACAUCAAAUCGUACCCCAAACCGACACAGGUGGUCAGGUAGAGAAUACCAAGGCGCUUGAGAGAACUCGGGUGAAGGAACUAGGCAAAAUGGUGCCGUAACUUCGGGAGAAGGCACGCUGGUGUGUAGGUGAAGCCCCUGCGGGUGGAGCUGAGACCAGUCGAAGAUACCAGCUGGCUGCAACUGUUUAUUAAAAACACAGCACUGUGCAAACACGAAAGUGGACGUAUACGGUGUGACGCCUGCCCGGUGCCGGAAGGUUAAUUGAUGGGGUUAUCCGUAAGGAGAAGCUCUUGAUCGAAGCCCCGGUAAACGGCGGCCGUAACUAUAACGGUCCUAAGGUAGCGAAAUUCCUUGUCGGGUAAGUUCCGACCUGCACGAAUGGCGUAAUGAUGGCCAGGCUGUCUCCACCCGAGACUCAGUGAAAUUGAACUCGCUGUGAAGAUGCAGUGUACCCGCGGCAAGACGGAAAGACCCCGUGAACCUUUACUAUAGCUUGACACUGAACAUUGAGCCUUGAUGUGUAGGAUAGGUGGGAGGCUUUGAAGCGUGGACGCCAGUCUGCGUGGAGCCAACCUUGAAAUACCACCCUUUAAUGUUUGAUGUUCUAACGUUGGCCCCUGACCGGGGUUGCGGACAGUGUCUGGUGGGUAGUUUGACUGGGGCGGUCUCCUCCCAAAGCGUAACGGAGGAGCACGAAGGUUAGCUAAUCCUGGUCGGACAUCAGGAGGUUAGUGCAAUGGCAUAAGCUAGCUUGACUGCGAGCGUGACGGCGCGAGCAGGUGCGAAAGCAGGUCAUAGUGAUCCGGUGGUUCUGAAUGGAAGGGCCAUCGCUCAACGGAUAAAAGGUACUCCGGGGAUAACAGGCUGAUACCGCCCAAGAGUUCAUAUCGACGGCGGUGUUUGGCACCUCGAUGUCGGCUCAUCACAUCCUGGGGCUGAAGUAGGUCCCAAGGGUAUGGCUGUUCGCCAUUUAAAGUGGUACGCGAGCUGGGUUUAGAACGUCGUGAGACAGUUCGGUCCCUAUCUGCCGUGGGCGCUGGAGAAUUGAGGGGGGCUGCUCCUAGUACGAGAGGACCGGAGUGGACGCAUCACUGGUGUUCGGGUUGUCAUGCCAAUGGCACUGCCCGGUAGCUAAAUGCGGAAGAGAUAAGUGCUGAAAGCAUCUAAGCACGAAACUUGCCCCGAGAUGAGUUCUCCCUGAGACUUUAAGUCUCCUGAAGGAACGUUGAAGACGACGACGUUGAUAGGCCGGGUGUGUAAGCGCAGCGAUGCGUUGAGCUAACCGGUACUAAUGAACCGUGAGGCUUAACCUU
RNAcentral lists this ribosomal RNA (2923 nucleotides) under Klebsiella pneumoniae 30684/NJST258_2. Its description in RNAcentral is "bacterial LSU rRNA". It matches the Rfam family "Bacterial large subunit ribosomal RNA". The record is from RNAcentral. Lineage: Bacteria; Pseudomonadati; Pseudomonadota; Gammaproteobacteria; Enterobacterales; Enterobacteriaceae.